Molecule: ribosomal RNA, 254 nt
Filed under: uncultured bacterium
Lineage: Bacteria
Description: partial 16S ribosomal RNA
Rfam family: Bacterial small subunit ribosomal RNA
Source: RNAcentral
UACGGAGGAUCCAAGCGUUAUCCGGAAUCAUUGGGUUUAAAGGGUCCGUAGGCGGUUUUGUAAGUCAGUGGUGAAAGCCCAUCGCUCAACGGUGGAACUGCGUCUGAUACUGGAUGGCUUGAGGUUGGGAGAGGGAUGCGGAAUUCCAGGUGUAGCGGUGAAAUGCGUAGAUAUCUGGAGGAACACCGGUGGCGAAGGCGGCAUCCUGGACCAAUUCUGACGCUGAGUGAGCGAAAGCCAGGGGAGCAAACGGG